GCGCCAGUCCCACCCCCAGACACGUGACGCCGGGGCGGUUCUCCGCCCCUAGUUGGAAGCCAGCCGGUGAGCUCCCGCGCCCAGGGCCUCGCCAGGGAACUAGGCCCACCCACCUGUCCGCCGCCCCAGCGGAUCGGAGAACUGAGACACUCUGAUGGGUGGAAUCCUUACCCAGACUGUACACACCCUUCUGCUGGAGUCCAUGUGCCCCUUGCUGCUGCUGGGGAGGGGACGGCACCUUGCGGGCUGACAAACCUGAGAUUGUCCCUGGAUGCUCACCAUUCUCAGGUUGGACAGUCCUGAAGGCACCGCCCAGGCGGCUGACGGGGCUUUCGAAGGCUCAUUAUUCUUUGGGGUUCCUCACCUCGUGUCCCAGGAGCCUCUGGACAAGUGAGGGAGGGGCUCGGGGUCUGUCCUGGCCCAGGCUCUGAGGGUCUCUCCAGGCUGCAGGCCCACCCUCAGCUACUCCUCAGGUUCGUCCCCCACCCCCUGGCCUCUCCUGGGGCCACAGCAGCCCAGGUGCCCAGAGAGCAACACAAGGGGCCACUCAUCAGUCCCAGCUGGCACGCAGCCUGAGCGGUUUGCCUGGGGAUGGGCUUCUCUGGCCCCACCAGCACCACCCAGCUUCUCCUCAUGCUGGAAGUCCCCAGUGGCUCCAGUCCUGGACCUUGAACCCUGGUGCUGUUUCUGCGACUGGGAGGCUCCCUGAGGCUGGAGGAAUUGCCCCUUUCUCCAGUGGCACCCCAAAGACCCAUUCAUCAGGUCUGUUUGGAAGGUGACCACUUCUGCCACCCCUCAGGGUCCUGGCAGGAUGUGGCCCAAGAACCCCCCUAAGCUGUGACCUUGUCUCCGGGAGAUGUCUCUGGUGAGGGACCCUCAGCUUGAGGGGGUAGGGCUUGGUCCUAGGCCACCACUGACUCUGGGGAAGUGGGAGGAAGCUGUCCCACCCACAGGCUGGUGGCUGAGUAGGGUGAGAGCCCUGAGCUGCAUCACACAUGUGUGUGUCUGGGGCCAUGUGCUUUUUGCACACGCAUGAGCAGGUGUGGCUUUGAUAUCUUCUCUGGGAGCUAGUUAGCCUCUAGAUGGACUCGGGGGCCCCUCCUGGGAUGACCUAGUUCCUGCCCAGCUCAUCAACUGUCUGCCUCAUUUCUCGUCUGGGAAGAGCUGGCCAGACAGAAGGGCAUCUCUGCCUCCUUGCCUGUCAGCACUUGAGCAGGGCCAGGCCUGCUGCAGGCUCCAGGCACUAGAGCACAGGAUGAAUGAAUGAAUAAAUUUGGCCCUGGAGACGGGGCUGGAGCGGGGAGCUGUCCACUUACCAGGUUGUGGGGGAGAGGUCCCUUCUGCCGACCUUAGGGCUGUGUCGCUCCUCUGGCCCUGCGCCUGACCACCUCUGGACCAAGCUCCCGCCUUUAUCUGCUGCCCUUCGCCUGGCCCCCACCCAGAGACUUCCUGUCCCCGCCCCACAACUAGCUUUUCCAUGACAUGGCCUUUGUGAGGGGGGCGGGGAACCAAGAGAGACCAGGAGGGCAGAAAAGAGUGAGACCAGGCCAUGAGGUGGAGGGGACAUCUGUGUGGGGGCUUCUGACAGCCCACCUACUGCAGCUGGGAACCUGCCUCAGGUUUGUGAGCCAGGCAGGUCUGCACCCUAGCGGGUACCCUUGCCCAAAAACUGUGAAGGCAGGGCCGGACGUGGUUUCUGGCCCUGACAAUGUGGCCGGCUCGCUGAGGCACCGGCGUCUCCCCUGCAAGUGGGGCCCCUGUGGCCAGCACGAACUCCUCACUGCUUCCUUCAGCCACCCGCACAC
This is a long non-coding RNA of Bos taurus (domestic cattle), 1805 nucleotides long. NCBI's taxonomy places the organism in Eukaryota, Metazoa, Chordata, Mammalia, Artiodactyla, Bovidae. The record is from Ensembl.